GAUGAACGCUGGCGGCGUGCCUAAUACAUGCAAGUCGAGCGAACAGAUGAGGAGCUUGCUCCUCUGACGUUAGCGGCGGACGGGUGAGUAACACGUGGAUAACCUACCUAUAAGACUGGGAUAACUUCGGGAAACCGGAGCUAAUACCGGAUAAUAUAUUGAACCGCAUGGUUCAAUAGUGAAAGACGGUUUUGCUGUCACUUAUAGAUGGAUCCGCGCCGCAUUAGCUAGUUGGUAAGGUAACGGCUUACCAAGGCAACGAUGCGUAGCCGACCUGAGAGGGUGAUCGGCCACACUGGAACUGAGACACGGUCCAGACUCAUACGGGAGGCAGCAGCAGGGAAUCUUCCGUAAUGGGCGAAAGCCUGACGGAGCAACGCCGCGUGAGUGAUGAAGGUCUUCGGAUCGUAAAACUCUGUUAUUAGGGAAGAACAAAUGUGUAAGUAACUAUGCACGUCUUGACGGUACCUAAUCAGAAAGCCACGGCUAACUACGUG
Molecule: ribosomal RNA, 497 nt
Filed under: uncultured bacterium
Lineage: Bacteria
Description: partial 16S ribosomal RNA
Rfam family: Bacterial small subunit ribosomal RNA
Source: RNAcentral